GUGCUUACUUUGGCAGCACAUACAGUAAAGUUGGAACAAUACAAAGAUUAGCAUAGCCACUGUGCAAGGAUGACACACAAAUUCGUGAAGUGUUAAUAUUUUAA
This is a small nuclear RNA of Peromyscus eremicus (cactus mouse), 104 nucleotides long. NCBI's taxonomy places the organism in Eukaryota, Metazoa, Chordata, Mammalia, Rodentia, Cricetidae. The record is from RefSeq and is a predicted model, not a curated record.